CCUGGGCUGGAUAAGUGGACUAAUGU
Molecule: non-coding RNA, 26 nt
Filed under: Mus musculus (house mouse)
Lineage: Eukaryota; Metazoa; Chordata; Mammalia; Rodentia; Muridae
Source: RNAcentral